CCUACGGGGGGCAGCAGUAGGGAAUCUUCCACAAUGGACGCAAGUCUGAUGGAGCAACGCCGCGUGAGUGAAGAAGGUCUUCGGAUCGUAAAACUCUGUUGUUAGAGAAGAACACGAGUGAGAGUAACUGUUCAUUCGAUGACGGUAUCUAACCAGCAAGUCACGGCUAACUACGUGCCAGCAGCCGCGGUAAUACGUAGGUGGCAAGCGUUGUCCGGAUUUAUUGGGCGUAAAGGGAACGCGGGCGGUCUUUUAAGUCUGAUGUGAAAGCCUUCGGCUUAACCGGAGUAGUGCAUUGGAAACUGGAAGACUUGAGUGCAGAAGAAGAGAGUGGAACUCCAUGUGUAGCGGUGAAAUGCGUAGAUAUAUGGAAGAACACCAGUGGCGAAAGCGGCUCUCUGGUCUGUAACUGACGCUGAGGUUCGAAAGCGUGGGUAGCAAACAGGAUUAGAUACCCUGGUAGUC
RNAcentral lists this ribosomal RNA (465 nucleotides) under uncultured Lactobacillus sp. Its description in RNAcentral is "bacterial SSU rRNA". It matches the Rfam family "Bacterial small subunit ribosomal RNA", at positions 338 to 795 of the family's 1533-position model. The record is from RNAcentral. Lineage: Bacteria; Bacillati; Bacillota; Bacilli; Lactobacillales; Lactobacillaceae.